RNAcentral lists this non-coding RNA (22 nucleotides) under Arabidopsis thaliana (thale cress). The record is from RNAcentral. Lineage: Eukaryota; Viridiplantae; Streptophyta; Magnoliopsida; Brassicales; Brassicaceae.
CUAGUUAGAUAUGAGGUGCUUU